This 293-nucleotide small RNA is filed under the name Pseudocercospora eumusae. Its description in RNAcentral is "Mycosphaerella eumusae 5' ureB small RNA". It matches the Rfam family "5' ureB small RNA". Lineage: Eukaryota; Fungi; Ascomycota; Dothideomycetes; Mycosphaerellales; Mycosphaerellaceae. The record is from Rfam by way of RNAcentral.
CGUACGCUUGUUGUGGGCAGAUCAAAUGGAUAUGAGAAUCGAAGCCGCCAUAGGUGACAAUUUUGUGCUCGCCUGCGAUCACGUCAGUCGUGCUUCCGAUGACCAUACGAGGGUCAACGCCAGCCAUGACGUCCGGAUUUCCAGCUUUGCCUACGCCAACAAUAAUGCCGUUCUUGAUGCCGAUAUCUGCCUUAUAUAUACCGGUGUAGUCCACGAUGAGUGCGUUCGUAACAACAGUGUCCAGAGCGUCCUUGUCAGCACGACCAGAAGCCUGGCCCAUGCCAUCGCGAAUG